UAGAGCACGCUGCUUCAAGGGGAAAUCAUGACACUCGAUGACUUUGCUUAGAUCCGGUAAAGCGGAUUUAGACUUGUCCGUGGCCAGAAAUAAAGAAAUGAUUGCUGGUGACUUUCUGAGAAAAGCUCACCGACUCACCAACAGCUGCGUGGAAAUGGGAAAGUGCGUCGGCCAGCUGUCCGGCAGCCAGGAGCUUCUUCCCAUCUCCAGGUAAGGUGAUAUCCAUCCAUCCAUCCAUCUUCAAUACUACUUAUCCUUCAGGGUCACGGGGAACCUGGCGCCUAUCCCAGGGAGCAUCGGGCACAAGUAUAUCCUGGACAGGCCAAUCCAUUACGGCACAAUCACAUACACACUCGCACACCCAUUCAUUCACUACGGACACUUUUAGACAUGCCAAUCAGCCUACCAUGCAUGUCUUUGGACUGGGGGAGGAAACCGGAGUACCUGGAGGAAACCCCCACAGCACGGGGAGAACAUGAAAACUCCGCACACACAGGGCCUCAGUGGGAAUCGAGCCCCCGACCCUGGAGUGAGGCGAACGUGCUAACCACUAAGCCACCAUCCACCUGGUAUUGUGAUAUCUUUUUUUUAGUA
Ictalurus punctatus (channel catfish) is the source of this 594-nucleotide long non-coding RNA. RefSeq lists it as uncharacterized. NCBI's taxonomy places the organism in Eukaryota, Metazoa, Chordata, Actinopteri, Siluriformes, Ictaluridae. The transcript has 3 exons. The record is from RefSeq and is a predicted model, not a curated record.